GAAAAGGAGAACAAGUCAUAGAUUAUAUGCAAAAUGCCAGCAAACUUGAACAAUCAUACAUAUGCACUGUUUUUCCAAACAAAAUUAAGUCUCAAAGGAUAGAGGAUUCCAAAAGAAGAGCCGAGUAAGAGGAUUCAGUUCACAAUGUUCCAACCGUAUCGACAGAUUAAUGAAGAUAUGUAGCCAAAAGAUUGGCCUAGAAUUGUGUUCUUAAUCAAUGAACAGCUAGUUUCUUUGCUGUCCAUCGCUUUUUGGUAGUCUCCAUUGCUUCCUCCCUCAUCCUAGAAAGCUCAUGAAACCAAUUCUGGUAUUGUGCUUCAAUUGUGGCAAGCUGCAGCUUUAGCUCAACAUUUAGAUCCUUGCCAACUAGGAACAGAUAUGAAGAGUUGCUUGUCAAGCUCAUAUCAUUGGGUACUCCACUUAGCUUGGGAAAUGGCAACUCCGAAUUCCUUGCAUAUUCAUUCAUUGGAAUGCAUACUCCGAUACUACUAUAGUUUCUUUCCAAUUUGUGAUCAAAAUAGGGAUCCCCAAGCUCUGGUUCAGAAACAUAUCCGCUUAAGUCUCCAUCAGUAUUGUAAUCAGGGAGUUCAGACAUUUUAUCAAUUUUAGAGGAAGCAUCUUCAACCAGUAUCUCUGAAAUAACUGAUGCUUGUGAAUCUUGAUCUUCCAUAUUAGCCAAACUUGGAGGAGAAUAAUUGUCAAAAUGAUAAAUGACGCUGCUAGUGUUAUCACAGCGAUUAUCUUCACCAGCUUGUAAGCUACCUCCUUGAGGAGUUGUGGUAAACCCAGAGAGAGCAUCUUGUUCGACCACUGGCUGAGCAGAAACACUGGUUAGCUCUGAAUUCCAAGGGGAAGCCACUGAUUUCUCAAGGACUGAGUCCGUGUAAAUACUUGUGACUCCACUCAAGCAAUAAUCGGAUGAGGGCUUCCAACCAGGAAGAAGUUUCAUAAUCAAGUAAUCAAUGAACUCGGCUAUGAAGGCCACAUCAUGAUCUGCCAACUCUAGUUGUUCAGCCAUCUCACUUGACACUGAUAGUGCAGUAUCACUAUCAAGGUAGAAGAGGAAAUGAAUAUUUCUAACCCGACUAGAAGAGUCAGCAAUUCGCAAUGUCAAUGAUACAGAAUUUUCAUCAUUUUUUGUCCCUCUUAACCUAAAUUCCUUGUUCUUAUGUGCUCUCUGAUAUUCCAACACUGGAAAUUUGGUGCCUUCAUUAUUGUUGCUUCCAGUACAUGAGCUUAAACAAAGCUGCUUAUAGUCUCUGUCCAUGUCCAUGGACAGAGGUCCUGACUUGUUUAAACUCGAUGAUUUAGCAUACUGGUUGGGUAAGAGCAAGGGAUCACGGAUUGAUUCUACGGGAUUCUGAAGCUGAAGGAAUGGAUCUUUGAGAAGCUCUUUUGCAGACAAUCUUUCAGAUGCUGGAACCAGACAUUUCAGAAUGAACUCCUUAAUUUGAGGAUCGCUCACUUUACUAAGGGAAGCAGGUUUAACACCGGAGGUAACCUUCUUAUAAAUUUGAGCAGGAUUUUUACAUUCGCUAUAUGGGUAUUCGAAAGUAACCAUUUCUAACAUGCACAUCCCAAAAGAGUAUAUGUCAAUGAGUUCAUUAUAUUCCUCUUCGUAAAGUUCUGGAGCCAUAAACUCAGGAGUUCCAAUAACACUUCUAGCAGUAGGCUGCUGCAUAACGAUGGCCAAUCCAAGGUCUCCAAUUUUAACUUCUCCAUGAUGUCCAUUAACAAAUACAUUAUCACAUUUUAAAUCCCUGUGAAUGAUGGGAGGAUUAUGACCAUGGAGAUAGACUAAACCUUGGAGAAUUUGCCUUGCCCAAUUCUUUAUUGCCUUCAUAUCGACAUUCUUAUGCUUCUUACGAUAUUGCCUCAGAUUCCCAGACGUGAAGAGUUCAGUGAUCAUGUUAACAGUUUUCAUCUUUUCGUCCACCCAGGAGUAAUAGAACUUCAAGAUAUUUUCAUGGUUCAAUGAUCUCAGCAGAUGAACUUCAGAAUACAAUUUUUCUAAACCUUCUGGUGAUUGCAAGACAUCAUCAAUCCUCACUUGGUUCCACGCAACCUCUAUUCCAUCUACUUCAUCAAAUGCCUUGUAAACAGUCUUGAAAGCACCCCUGCCCAAUAUCUCAUCAUACCGCACAUAUCUACCAGUAGGAUCUUUUUCUACGAAAUCAGCCUCAUCAUCAGGAGGCUCCACUGCAGAAUACGUUCCAUUGUUAGAUGCCAAAAACAGUCCUCCUCGUCCACUUACAACACCACUAGUCAUCAUUGCUAACAAUGACAAAACAGAAAGCACCAAGAAGAAAAUGGAAAAAAUAUCUUUGAUCUAUUCUCGAAGUCAAAACUCUUUGCGUUCUUUAUGUUGUUUUUGCUCGGAGAAAGCCUCGGAAGCAAUGCAGAAAGAAUCGAAUGCCGAUAAUCGCAAUAGGACACGGCAUUCGACAAUGACCACGGCAGCGGCAACGUCGUUUCCUCCUCGAGGCAAUGAACCUGCACAAUUCAUAACCCCAUCUGCCGCGCCUCUGCAACUCCUUUCCAUUCUCAAACCAGUCCCAGCACCAUCCGCUCCUCCAAUAACAUCCUUAUG
This 2590-nucleotide unclassified non-coding RNA is filed under the name Hevea brasiliensis (rubber tree). The record is from RNAcentral. Lineage: Eukaryota; Viridiplantae; Streptophyta; Magnoliopsida; Malpighiales; Euphorbiaceae.